AGUGAACGCUGGCGGUAGGCCUAACACAUGCAAGUCGAACGGCAGCACAGUAAGAGCUUGCUCUUACGGGUGGCGAGUGGCGGACGUGUGAGGAAUACAUCGGACUCUACUUUUUCGGGGGGGAUAACGUAGGGAAACUUACGCUAAUACCGCAUACGACCUACGGGUGAAAGCAGGGGAUCUUCGGACCUUGCGCGAUUGAAUGAGCCGAUGUCGGAUUAGCUAGUUGGCGGGGUAAAGGCCCACCAAGGCGACGAUCCGUAGCUGGUCUGAGAGGAUGAUCAGCCACACUGGAACUGAGACACGGCCCAGACUCCUACGGGAGGCAGCAGUGGGGAAUAUUGGACAAUGGGCGCAAGCCUGAUCCAGCCAUACCGCGUGGGUGAAGAAGGCCUUCGGGUUGUAAAGCCCUUUUGUUGGGAAAGAAAAGCAGCAGGUUAAUACCUCGCUGUUCUGACGGUACCCAAAGAAUAAGCACCGGCUAACUUCGUG
This 492-nucleotide ribosomal RNA is filed under the name uncultured bacterium. RNAcentral's name for it is "partial 16S ribosomal RNA". It matches the Rfam family "Bacterial small subunit ribosomal RNA", at positions 29 to 507 of the family's 1533-position model. The record is from RNAcentral.